This 507-nucleotide ribosomal RNA is filed under the name Candida albicans. RNAcentral's name for it is "eukaryotic LSU rRNA". The stretch from base 140 to 293 matches the Rfam family "5.8S ribosomal RNA". The record is from RNAcentral. Lineage: Eukaryota; Fungi; Ascomycota; Pichiomycetes; Serinales; Debaryomycetaceae.
GGAUCUGGAUUGCUAUUGCCCCAUGUGUUUUUCUUUGAAACAAACUUGCUUUGGCGGUGGGCCCAGCCUGCCGCCAGAGGUCUAAACUUACAACCAAUUUUUUAUCAACUUGUCACACCAGAUUAUUACUAAUAGUCAAAACUUUCAACAACGGAUCUCUUGGUUCUCGCAUCGAUGAAGAACGCAGCGAAAUGCGAUACGUAAUAUGAAUUGCAGAUAUUCGUGAAUCAUCGAAUCUUUGAACGCACAUUGCGCCCUCUGGUAUUCCGGAGGGCAUGCCUGUUUGAGCGUCGUUUCUCCCUCAAACCGCUGGGUUUGGUGUUGAGCAAUACGACUUGGGUUUGCUUGAAAGACGGUAGUGGUAAGGCGGGAUCGCUUUGACAAUGGCUUAGGUCUAACCAAAAACAUUGCUUGCGGCGGUAACGUCCACCACGUAUAUCUUCAAACUUUGACCUCAAAUCAGGUAGGACUACCCGCUGAACUUAAGCAUAUCAAUAAGCGGAGGAA